ACCAAGGGAGGUGCUGAGCUAUCUAGGAUCAAAAGUGAGUAGGAAAUACGCUAACAGAAAAGAACCUGACUGUUGUUGGGAGACCCAGAGGGAGGUGCCACCCUUUGGAGAUUUUGACAGUCAACAUCUAAUUAAUAGGCUCAGCUGCCACCUCGGUCUUGACUUCGGUGAGGAGACCUGGAGGGCAUUCACCCAUCCUGUUUACCCAGCUUGCCUGGGAAGCACCCGCUCAGGAAUCAGUUCUCUUCACCCUGAGCUCACUUGGCCUCUCUCUUCCUGGGAC
This is a long non-coding RNA of Cynocephalus volans (Philippine flying lemur), 283 nucleotides long. RefSeq lists it as uncharacterized. The record is from RefSeq and is a predicted model, not a curated record. The transcript has 3 exons. NCBI's taxonomy places the organism in Eukaryota, Metazoa, Chordata, Mammalia, Dermoptera, Cynocephalidae.